UAUUUAACGAAAGUGGCGAACGGGUGAGUACACGUGAGCAACCUGCCUUACACAGGGGAUAGCCAUUGGAAACGGUGAUUAAUACCCCAUAAGACCACAAUACCGCAUGGUAAAAGGGUAAAAGGGAUACCGGUGUAAGAUGGGCUCGCGUCUGAUUAGCUAGUUGGUGGGGUAAAGGCCUACCAAGGCGACGAUCAGUAGCCGGUCUGAGAGGAUGAACGGCCACAUUGGAACUGAGACACGGUCCAAACUCCUACGGGAGGCAGCAGCU
Molecule: ribosomal RNA, 271 nt
Filed under: uncultured Parvimonas sp.
Lineage: Bacteria; Bacillati; Bacillota; Tissierellia; Tissierellales; Peptoniphilaceae
Description: partial 16S ribosomal RNA
Rfam family: Bacterial small subunit ribosomal RNA
Source: RNAcentral